CAGUGGGGAAUUUUGGACAAUGGGCGCAAGCCUGAUCCAGCCAUGCCGCGUGUCUGAAGAAGGCCUUCGGGUUGUAAAGGACUUUUGUCAGGGAGGAAAUCCCUAGCGCUAAUAUCGCUGGGGGAUGACAGUACCUGAAGAAUAAGCACCGGCUAACUACGUGCCAGCAGCCGCGGUAAUACGUAGGGUGCAAGCGUUAAUCGGAAUUACUGGGCGUAAAGCGUGCGCAGGCGGUUGUGUAAGUCUGAUGUGAAAGCCCCGGGCUUAACCUGGGAACGGCAUUGGAGACUGCACAGCUAGAGUGCGUCAGAGGGGGGUAGAAUUCCACGUGUAGCAGUGAAAUGCGUAGAGAUG
This 354-nucleotide ribosomal RNA is filed under the name bacterium LimC-1-A-197. Its description in RNAcentral is "bacterial SSU rRNA". It matches the Rfam family "Bacterial small subunit ribosomal RNA", at positions 352 to 698 of the family's 1533-position model. The record is from RNAcentral. RNAcentral also lists the same sequence under 2 other names.